GUAUGAUAGAGGCGCUUAAAUAUUGAUAAUAUCAGGUGAGGUUAGGCUACAACACUCUAUUGGGGACCCCUCUCACCCAUCAACAUCAUGCAAAAAAGAGAAAGUGGGCUUGGUUGUGUCCUCACUGCACGUGACUGGGGGAACUCUGGCAGUCAGCUUGGAGGGACCCUCUCUGGGAACAGCAGAGACCAGCAACACGCGUCCGCAUUACAGGUGGGUAGUUCUCCCAGUGAGUGCCAAGUUUCUCUGUCUUUUAUACCUUUUAGCAAGUUUGUAACUUUUCCAAGAUUUCUUAUCAGUGCAGCCCAGCAUGUAUCUUGUCAUGCGCAUUAGGUCAUCAGUAUGGUUGAUCAGGCCAGUCGUGACCACCCAAGGCUCAUGCCAGAUACGUGCGGUAUCUUAUUCUCUCUAUGUCCCUACUCUUAUCUCUCCAUACAUUUGUUGGCACCAAUUCCCUCUGUUCAUCACGUAGGCCUUUUUGGAUAUUGUCCAGACAUGCUAUGGAAUAUUCCAGGCAAUGUUGAAUUUCUUAGUGCGACACAGUUUAAGCAUUUUAUGCAAUGUCAUCAUAGCUGAAUUUCUUGGUGCGACACAAGCUGAAUUUCUUGGUGCGACACAAGCUGAAUUUCUUAGUGCGACACAAGCUGAAUUUCUUAGUGCGACACAAGCUGAAUUUCUUAGUGCGACACAAGCUGAAUUUCUUAGUGCGGCACAAGUUGAAUUUCUUAGUGCGACACAGUUUAAGCCAAGUGCCAUCUUAACUAUCU
Non-coding RNA from Pelobates cultripes (western spadefoot toad), 767 nucleotides. NCBI's taxonomy places the organism in Eukaryota, Metazoa, Chordata, Amphibia, Anura, Pelobatidae. The record is from the annotation of a GenBank genome assembly.